RNAcentral lists this ribosomal RNA (452 nucleotides) under Escherichia coli. RNAcentral describes it as "bacterial SSU rRNA". It matches the Rfam family "Bacterial small subunit ribosomal RNA", at positions 1 to 449 of the family's 1533-position model. RNAcentral also lists the same sequence under 2 other names. The record is from RNAcentral. Lineage: Bacteria; Pseudomonadati; Pseudomonadota; Gammaproteobacteria; Enterobacterales; Enterobacteriaceae.
AAAUUGAAGAGUUUGAUCAUGGCUCAGAUUGAACGCUGGCGGCAGGCCUAACACAUGCAAGUCGAACGGUAACAGGAAACAGCUUGCUGUUUCGCUGACGAGUGGCGGACGGGUGAGUAAUGUCUGGGAAACUGCCCGAUGGAGGGGGAUAACUACUGGAAACGGUAGCUAAUACCGCAUAACGUCGCAAGACCAAAGAGGGGGACCUUCGGGCCUCUUGCUAUCGGAUGUGCCCAGAUGGGAUUAGCUAGUAGGUGGGGUAACGGCUCACCUAGGCGACGAUCCCUAGCUGGUCUGAGAGGAUGACCAGCCACACUGGAACUGAGACACGGUCCAGACUCCUACGGGAGGCAGCAGUGGGGAAUAUUGCACAAUGGGCGCAAGCCUGAUGCAGCCAUGCCGCGUGUAUGAAGAAGGCCUUCGGGUUGUAAAGUACUUUCAGCGGGGAGGAA